This is a long non-coding RNA of Oncorhynchus kisutch (coho salmon), 893 nucleotides long. RefSeq lists it as uncharacterized. The record is from RefSeq and is a predicted model, not a curated record. Lineage: Eukaryota; Metazoa; Chordata; Actinopteri; Salmoniformes; Salmonidae. The transcript has 3 exons.
GCAGCCACAAGAAACGAGAACAAUAGUCUAUGCAUUUCAAGAAAAGACAUGCAGUGCAGUCGUUUCCAUGGUGACCGCACUGCACGGCAAGUGGGCAGAGACUACCAGACGAGUCCUGAGAAAUGAAUGUCUCCACGAUAAAUUCCUAUGACUGAAAACUGCUUCUGGACAUCAGAACAGCGAUCACCAACCUCGAUUUGGAUGACAAUUUCUACUUCAACGAGUUGGCAGCUCUGGACUUUCUGCUUAAUCCGCAUUAAGGCCUUGGUCAUCUGGACUCGAAAGAAGAAGUGACAGCGCAAGAGGCAGACGAGACAAGCAGGCAACAUGACGAGACUAUAUUGGUGAGCAAAUAAACCGCCUCUACCCUCCGUUUUAUUGGUGAAUGUACACUGGAGAGCAAACUGGACGAGCUCUGUUCGAGACUAUCCUAUCAACGGACCUGAAGAACUGUAAUAUUGGGUUUUCCAUGCCCUGAUCAAGACUGGACAGCAGCCUCUGAGCUGUUUACCAAUACAAACCGAUGCUGGCACAUAAGCAAACAAGAAAAUGCACAUCCAGAAGUGACGCUUCUCAUGGCCGGUGAUUUCAAUGCAGGGAAACUGAAGUCUGUUUUACUUCAUUUUUACCAGCAUGUCAACUGUACAACUAGAGGCGACAAAACUCUAGAUCACCUUUACUUCACACAGAGAAAUGCAUAUAAAGCUCUCCCUCACCCUCCCUUUGGCAAAUCUAACUCUAUCCUUCUGAUUCCUUUUUACAAGCACAAACUCAACCAGGCAGUACCAGUGACAUGUUGAAUACAGAAGUAGUCAGAUGAAGCAGAUGCUAAACUACAGGACUGUUUCCCAAUACUUAUUUUCCACCAUAAUUUGCAAAUAAAUUCAUAAAAA